Molecule: non-coding RNA, 30 nt
Filed under: Mus musculus (house mouse)
Lineage: Eukaryota; Metazoa; Chordata; Mammalia; Rodentia; Muridae
Source: RNAcentral
UACACUUCCUCAACCCUAGUCAUGAUUGGU